AACCUAAUGAAAUGUGUACUCGUUUGUGC
RNAcentral lists this small RNA (29 nucleotides) under Bombyx mori (domestic silkworm). Its description in RNAcentral is "ovarian small RNA-10349". Lineage: Eukaryota; Metazoa; Arthropoda; Insecta; Lepidoptera; Bombycidae. The record is from RNAcentral.